GAGGAAUUUUCGUCAAUGGGGGAAACCCUGAACGAGCAACGCCGCGUGCAGGAAGAAGGUCUUCGGAUCGUAAACUGCUUUUCUCUGGGACGAGAAUGGACGGUACCAGAGGAAGAAGCCCCGGCUAACUACGUGCCAGCAGCCGCGGUAAUACGGAGGGGGCUAGCGUUGUUCGGAAUUACUGGGCGUAAAGCGCACGUAGGCGGCUUUGUAAGUUAGAGGUGAAAGCCCGGGGCUCAACUCCGGGAUUGCCUUUAAGACUGCAUCGCUAGAAUUGUGGAGAGGUAAGUGGAAUUCCGAGUGUAGAGGUGAAAUUCGUAGAUAUUCGGAAGAACACCAGUGGCGAAGGCGACUUACUGGACACAUAUUGACGCUGAGGUGCGAAAGCGUGGGGAGCAAAC
This 401-nucleotide ribosomal RNA is filed under the name uncultured bacterium. RNAcentral's name for it is "bacterial SSU rRNA". It matches the Rfam family "Bacterial small subunit ribosomal RNA", at positions 356 to 773 of the family's 1533-position model. The record is from RNAcentral.